This 253-nucleotide ribosomal RNA is filed under the name uncultured prokaryote. RNAcentral's name for it is "partial 16S ribosomal RNA". It matches the Rfam family "Bacterial small subunit ribosomal RNA", at positions 524 to 776 of the family's 1533-position model. The record is from RNAcentral.
UACGUAGGGGGCAAGCGUUGUUCGGAAUUACUGGGCGUAAAGGGCGCGUAGGCGGCACGGCAAGUCAGGAGUGAAAGGCCUGGGCUCAACCGAGGAACUGCUUUUGAGACUGCCGAGCUAGAGUGCAGGAGGGGCAACUGGAAUUCCCAGUGUAGCGGUGAAAUGCGUAGAUAUUGGGAGGAACACCGGUGGCGAAGGCGGUUCUCUGGGCCUUACCUGACGCUGAGGAGCGAAAGCGUGGGGAGCGAACAGG